GCUAUUGGAACCCUAAAGGCCAGCAGUUCAACAAGAUAUCUACAAUCAGUCAAAGGAACAUGGAAACAAUACUUGAUUGAUCAUUAUAAGCCAGUUUUCAGCUCUGGGUACUCACCAGGUUCCUCCCUGACCCCCUCAGGGGAACUCAGGAGAUCAAGUGAUGGCAGCAGAGCUCCUGCCAGUUGGGCCCCAGGUCCCAGACUGCGCACUGCAACAGAGAGCACUCACUGAAGAAACGAAGAUGGACAUGAAAUCCCUGGGCAAGGGCCUGGAGUCACCGCCUGCUCUACCCUGUAGCAGUGAUGCCUCACUGGGUACCCAGCCUGGAUCGACGCACCCUGAGCCCCUGCUUCCUUUCCGUGGUCUCCAACCAGAUUGUGAAACCAACACUGAGUUCAAGUUGUUGACAGUUAAAGAAGAAAUAUUUGAAGAGGAAGACUCUCAGGUGGUAAUAUUAGAAAGACUUAUAGGGGAUGUUCCUCAAGGACCUGAAUUUGGAGAAGGGUGUGAACAUGAGGAAGGAUUAGCACAACAUUGGGGUAUUUCUGAAGGAGAUGGGCUAAUAAAAUCACUUUCUCAGGAGAGGAGUUUCA
Molecule: long non-coding RNA, 593 nt
Filed under: Monodelphis domestica (gray short-tailed opossum)
Lineage: Eukaryota; Metazoa; Chordata; Mammalia; Didelphimorphia; Didelphidae
Description: lncRNA (ENSMODG00000028634.2)
Source: RNAcentral